Molecule: ribosomal RNA, 520 nt
Filed under: uncultured bacterium
Lineage: Bacteria
Description: bacterial SSU rRNA
Rfam family: Bacterial small subunit ribosomal RNA
Source: RNAcentral
GGGAAUCUACCGUGCCCUGCGGAAUAGCUCCGGGAAACUGGAAUUAAUACCGCAUACGCCCUACGGGGGAAAGAUUUAUCGGGGUAUGAUGAGCCCGCGUUGGAUUAGCUAGUUGGUGGGGUAAAGGCCUACCAAGGCGACGAUCCAUAGCUGGUCUGAGAGGAUGAUCAGCCACAUUGGGACUGAGACACGGCCCAAACUCCUACGGGAGGCAGCAGUGGGGAAUAUUGGACAAUGGGCGCAAGCCUGAUCCAGCCAUGCCGCGUGAGUGAUGAAGGCCUUAGGGUUGUAAAGCUCUUUCACCGGUGAAGAUAAUGACGGUAACCGGAGAAGAAGCCCCGGCUAACUUCGUGCCAGCAGCCGCGGUAAUACGAAGGGGGCUAGCGUUGUUCGGAAUUACUGGGCGUAAAGCGCACGUAGGCGGAUAUUUAAGUCAGGGGUGAGAUCCCAGAGCUCAACUCUGGAACUGCCUUUGAUACUGGGUAUCUUGAGUAUGGAAGAGGUAAGUGGAAUUGCGAGU